RNAcentral lists this ribosomal RNA (468 nucleotides) under uncultured bacterium. RNAcentral describes it as "partial 16S ribosomal RNA". It matches the Rfam family "Bacterial small subunit ribosomal RNA", at positions 28 to 507 of the family's 1533-position model. The record is from RNAcentral.
GACGAACGCUGGCGGCGUGCUUAACACAUGCAAGUCGAAUGGAAAGGCCCUGCUUUUGUGGGGUUCUCGAGUGGCGAACGGGUGAGUAACACGUGAGUAACCUGCCCUUGACUUUGGGAUAACUUCAGGAAACUGGGGCUACUACCGGAUAGGAGCUCCUGCUGCAUGGUGGGGGUUGGAAAGUUUCGGCGGUUGGGGAUGGACUCGCGGCUUAUCAGCUUGCUGGUUGGGUAGUGGCUUACCAAGCCUUUGACGGAUACCCGGCAUGUGAGGGGGAACGGGGACAAGGGGACUGAGAGACGGCGCAGAGGGCAAUGGGGGGCAGCAGGGGGGAACAUUGCACAAUGGGCGGAAGCGUGAGGAAGCAACGCUGGGGUCGGGAUGACCGCCUUCGGGGUGAAAACAGCAUUAGCCUGUGACGAAGCGGGAGUGACGGUAAAGGGUAAAGAAGCACCGGCUAACUACGUG